Long non-coding RNA from Vigna angularis (adzuki bean), 1158 nucleotides. RefSeq lists it as uncharacterized. The record is from RefSeq and is a predicted model, not a curated record. The transcript has 2 exons. NCBI's taxonomy places the organism in Eukaryota, Viridiplantae, Streptophyta, Magnoliopsida, Fabales, Fabaceae.
AAGCAUGCGGAACGGGAGAGUUGGAGUGUAAAACCUUACAGUAAGUUUCGUGAAGAAGUUUCUGGUUUACCUCCUUCACGUAAGCAUGAAGAUCACCUUAGGACAAUGCUUGACGUUAAGAGGAGAUUUGUCAGUUCAAGUGCAACCAGUAAGAAUUAAGGACGAACUGUCAAGUGAGUCAAGGUCAUCUGGGAUGGUAGAACAAUCGAUUCUACCUGGAAGUUGGAGGUGAGAUGAGAGAAACCUACCUCUACUUGUUCUGGUAAAGCUUAAUUUUCGAGGACGAAAAUUUUUGUUGUUGGGGAGAAUGUAAGGACCGUCUAUUCUUUGGAAAAGAAUAGUGGUGGAGGUGGGCCUCAUGUGGGUGGUUACACGUUUCUGGAAGAAGGAGGGGCGGCUGCAUUUUUGGAAGUGGGUCUCUCCACCUUUGCUGAACGUGCUCCAAGCACCACCAGGAAGCCUCCAUCAGCAUUAUUUUCUUUUGGGCAGCAAACGUGGUGGUGGGUCUUCCCACUUUGAAAGUGUUCCAGCCACCAAGAAGUGCUCCAAGCACCAUCAUCACUUACCUUCAUAGUGGGAUUGAGCACUGAGGAUAGAGAAGGGGGACGGCUGAGCUGGCACCAGCAGUGGAGUACACCAAUUCCUUUCUUCUUAAAAAGGGAAAUCAGGGAUUGAAGGAGGUUGGAUGCUGCAGCUGGAGAGGAGAGUAAGCUUGCUGCAGACUUGGGAGAAGUGAGGCAGAGGUCGUCCGGCGUUGUAGCUGCAAGCUUGAGGAAGGUAGAUUCAAGUGAAGUGUUGGGUGCUACAUCCAGAGGUGAGGCAGAGAACGUCCAGAGCUUUACUGAAUUCAAGAUUUGCUAGGAGGUCUUCAAGAGAUGUUGUCGCGGAGAUUCCUUUGGAGCAAGAGCUGGAGGAUACUAAGGUUGCGGAGUAGUCUUCUUAGGAGUUGCCCAUCUGAGCACGUGUAGUGUUCGACUCUUUAAGCUAUUUAAGUUUGAAUUUCCGUUUUCUUUUAUUUUUGGAUGACUGUAAUUUUACAUUUAAUUACACGUCAUGAUCCGACUGUUCUCUAUAUUUGGAAUGUUGACGUCUUGAUUAUGUAAUAUUUGUUAUUAUAUAAUCGGGAUGUUACAGAACACAUAUAAAUCCAUUUUUGUC